AAAUAACCACAAACCAAGUACUUCCCACAUGGGUGCCACGAAGCGAAAUAAUUUUGGCCCACGGCCUAUAUAGUGGGUUCAAUUCUCGCUAUGGAUCGACUCGGCAUGCAUGUGAAAAGAGUCAGUCAACGCUCUCCCAAAAGUCGUGGGUUCAUAGUUUCUCCUGGUGCUCCGGUUUUCUCCCACAAGGCAAAUUGACAGGGUGCAUGGG
Non-coding RNA from Paramuricea clavata, 211 nucleotides. NCBI's taxonomy places the organism in Eukaryota, Metazoa, Cnidaria, Anthozoa, Malacalcyonacea, Plexauridae. The record is from the annotation of a GenBank genome assembly.